UACGUAGGUGGCAAGCGUUGUCCGGAUUUACUGGGCGUAAAGAGCGCGCAGGCGGUCGUAUAAGUCGAAUGUGAAAGCCCCCGGCUCAACUGGGGAGGGUCAUUCGAUACUGUUCGACUCGAAGGCAGGAGAGGGAAGUGGAAUUCCGGGUGUAGUGGUGAAAUGCGUAGAUAUCCGGAGGAACACCAGUGGCGAAGGCGACUUCCUGGCCUGUUCUUGACGCUGAGGCGCGAAAGCUAGGGGAGCAAACGGG
Molecule: ribosomal RNA, 253 nt
Filed under: uncultured bacterium
Lineage: Bacteria
Description: partial 16S ribosomal RNA
Rfam family: Bacterial small subunit ribosomal RNA
Source: RNAcentral